GUGACCCGCUGUGUCCCCAAGCUGCUCAGAUGUAAGCACCCUGCACAGGGUGCCUUUUGCAGUUGUUCCCAUUAGGGACCCUACCCACAGAUCUCCACAGUGGUACCACCAAAACCUCAUGCAUGCUCUUCUUUAAAGAUGAGUGUGCAAGAAAAAAAGUCAUUAAAUGAGCAGGAGAUUGAGGUUGAAUGGAACUUUCUUUGUAUAAACUCAGUUUACACAGAUAUUUGAAUAUAGCUACUUUAUCCUAUGUAUUAGGAAUGUAUUUACCCUAUCAUUAAAAAACAGAUCUUUUUCUAUUCUUUGCCUAAGAGCUUGUUCUAUAUGCCUAUCUGCCUUACAUCCUUAUCCAGCUUUUUGUAGGGGAAUGUGAAGGGAGUCUUUAGCAAGUCCUUUACACUGUCCAUAAGGUUACUAUGACACGGCAAUCUGGAAUCUGAUCUCAGGUUUCCAGGACCUGAUCUUGAAAGGUCUGGGAGGACGAUCUAUUUAUCUUCCCUGAUGAUGUUUUGUUUCUCACGGAACCAAUCUCUUCUUUCUGUUUGCUCCCACUUUGAGGUCGUAAUCCCCUGUUUGUGAUACCAGCAGGAUUCCCACAGCAACAGAUUAUGAUGUCACAGGCAGAGAUUUAUGAAGCCAUAGGCAGAGAAGCAGGAAGAAGGGCUCUGUUGUGAGACGUCCCAGUCUGCGAAGUCUUUUUUUAGUAAUUGCCCAAGUGGGAGGAAACCCAUCUCACAGAAGUUAUAUUUUAACCAUCUAAGCAACUGGUUUUCAAAGUGUGACAGAGCAUGGAUAUUCAACAGCAGGUUUUCUGCUUUAAAGCCCAUUCAUAAAUCCUGAAUGAAUACUCUCAAAACCUUUGAGGCGAUUUCACGUGUCACUAACAAAAGGAGGAAAAUGCAUUGGCAUGGACAACAGUUAUAUCGAAUGUCUUUGUAAAACGAAAGAAGAGUCACUGUUGUUAACUUAGAGCAGCGUGAAAAUGCUUGGGCUAAUUUUAAACAAGCAGCCUUUGAAACAAUCUAUCUGCGUGGUGCUAAGCAUGGACUCUCUUGGUUUGCUUCUGAGCAGAAGACUUGACUAUCUGUGGGAAAGAAGGCAGAUGGGAGAGAAGAUGCCUAGUUGUAAAAUAAAAGAUUGAAAGGACAAAGAAUAAUGGAAGAACUUCUAUUUUUGACAGCUAUACAUCUUAAAUGCAUACAAAACUUAAAAUUUGGAAGGCAGCACACUCCCAAACACUUCGCAGUUGCUGUCAUUGGGCAUUUUGUGUCAGAAAUAUGAUUCUGACUGACAUUUGUGGGAGUAGCAUUCACAGGAAAGAUUGUACUGAAAAGUAGCUUUGAUUUGGCAUGUCUAUAUUGUACCAUAAAACAUAGUAUAGAUAUUCC
RNAcentral lists this long non-coding RNA (1388 nucleotides) under Anser brachyrhynchus (Pink-footed goose). RNAcentral's name for it is "lncRNA (ENSABRG00000000718.1)". The record is from RNAcentral. Lineage: Eukaryota; Metazoa; Chordata; Aves; Anseriformes; Anatidae.